Long non-coding RNA from Anguilla rostrata (American eel), 604 nucleotides. RefSeq lists it as uncharacterized. Lineage: Eukaryota; Metazoa; Chordata; Actinopteri; Anguilliformes; Anguillidae. The record is from RefSeq and is a predicted model, not a curated record. The transcript has 5 exons.
UUUAGACAAUUCAAACUUAUCAUGGCUGCCACUUAGAUACUUCCGGGUCAUUUCACUCAGUUAGGAACUUUACUAAGCAAAAAAGACUAUUCGGACGCAGCCAAGGUCUUAGGAUUUCACCUCUACCCAUAAUUCCCCGUCAUACCCAUCAGUGCGAAAUAGAACAGUUUUGGAGAGAAUGACUUCAGUGCAGACUGUCUUGUUAUCAUAGGUGUUCGGCUCACAUAAAAUCCUGUGUGGAUUGACCUGGGAAGAUCACAGUAAGGACCAAAUUCAAGAUGUGUACAAAAGAUUCUUGUUUCAUUACUCCAAAUCCCAGGACUCGCAUCACUCAGUAAAUAGUGAGUCUCAGUCAGCACAUCCUCUGCUGCGCCUGUCUCCCAAACUGAGGAGGAAGAAGCAGUUCAUCCUAAUGCAGCCCAGCAUCCUCUCAGACGAGCAAUGAACAGCAGCUGCCAGGAGAGCAGCUGAUCCCCCCCCCCCAUCCCCUCUACUUCAGAAGACUUUGGACAUGUUAUCAGUUAUUGUAUUAUUAAAUGUUGUACUUUUUGGAACAAGAUGCAUCAAAUGAAAAUAAAUGUCUAAAAAGUGAUUACAAAAUUGA